RNAcentral lists this long non-coding RNA (298 nucleotides) under Mytilus galloprovincialis (Mediterranean mussel). Lineage: Eukaryota; Metazoa; Mollusca; Bivalvia; Mytilida; Mytilidae. The record is from RNAcentral.
CCUUGUUCUAUUGGCAAUUUAUGGUUCAUACAUCUAAAAUUACAAUAUGCCUUUCGAAGAUCAUAUGGUAGAUCAACAAUAUAUCUUUCAAAAUUAUGAAUUGUUUUGAAAAUUCUAUAAUUUAAACAUUUAGCUGAAUCAUAAACAGUAGUAACCCAUGUUUGUUUGAACUGAUCACAAAGACAUUGUUUGACUAGAUUUGAUAUGACUACAUUUUUUGGUACACUCUGUGACAGCCAGUACUCUGAGAGACCACAAUUAUUAAGGGUUUUUUCAAUACAAACAAUCCAUUUAGAAU